AUUCCAGUUUGAUGAGGGGUGAGGGGUAGAGAGAGGAGAGUCUCAGGGGGUGGAAUGAGGAAGAUAAAAGAGGGUGGUGUGACAGCCCUGAGGCCCACCUUACAUGGGGCAUUCGGGAAAGCUCUCUCUGGUGCCCAGCUGAGACCUAAGAGCACCACGUGCAGCCGUGCCCAGCCUGUGGCCUCAUUGCCCGCUCCGAUGUGCACCACCCGCCCGUGCUGCCGCCCCCUCUGGCCCUGCCCCUGCACCUGGGCGGCUGGUGGGUCAGCUCGGGGUGCGAGGUGCGCCCAGCAGUCCUGUUCCUCACCCGGCUCUUCACUUUCCACGGGCACAGCCGCUCCUGGGAAGGGUAUUACCACCACUUCUCAGACCCAGCCUGCCGGCAGCCCACCUUCACCGUGUAUGCCGCCGGCCGCUACACCAGGGGCACGCCAUCCACCAGGGUCCGCGGCGGCACCGAGCUGGUGUUUGAGGUCACACGGGCCCAUGUGACCCCCAUGGACCAGGUCACCACGGCCAUGCUCAACUUCUCUGAGCCAAGCAGCUGUGGGGGUGCGGGGGCCUGGUCCAUGGGCACUGAGC
This 582-nucleotide long non-coding RNA is filed under the name Homo sapiens (human). RNAcentral's name for it is "non-protein coding lnc-ANKRD60-5:1". Lineage: Eukaryota; Metazoa; Chordata; Mammalia; Primates; Hominidae. The record is from RNAcentral.